This is a long non-coding RNA of Acanthochromis polyacanthus (spiny chromis), 3775 nucleotides long. RefSeq lists it as uncharacterized. The transcript has 10 exons. The record is from RefSeq and is a predicted model, not a curated record. Lineage: Eukaryota; Metazoa; Chordata; Actinopteri; Pomacentridae.
GGUAGAAGCAGGAGGAUCUGUGGCUGAGUCUGUCGACACCAUGUGGUGAUGUGGAGCCACUGCACUGAGGAACCUCGGCUGCAUCUCCCAUUGAUACUGCUCCCUGUUUGAUUGAAUGAUUGUGGACCACUGGGAACUAUGUGUGUGUACAUGCGUGUUUGUGUAUGCACUGUAGCUGGUGACGGUGGUUUUGUGUGGAGCAGAUGGCAGACUUUACUGUUGUGUCAUAAAUCUGCUUCAUUUUUGAGAGGAAAAAAGUCAGGCAUUAAGACAUUUCUCAGUACCCAGAGCAUAAAGCAGACAGUUUUGCUAAUGUCUGCUGAUUAUUCUGACUACUUGUUGUUAUCUGGGUGCAGAGGACACGCUGAAUCUGCUCUCACUGUGUCCCUAUACAUGCACUCGCCAGCAGUCACGGACAUACAGUUGGCCUACAGGCAGGGAUAAAAAUAGCACAAACCGAUGCGACGGGCGCAGCCCUUUUCCCUUCUCAGACUUUUCUAGGCUGCCACUCAGUGGAUACUCACUGCCUCCAUUUCCAAACCCCCAGUACCAUCCACCUCAGCCCACCCCGUCCCAUCACGUAAAGUCUCGUGAAUGUCCACGCGGCAUGAGUGCAGAUGGAAGGCGUGGGGUGUGUGGAGAGGGUCUUACAGUAUAAAGGUGUUAGAUAUCGAAGGGGGGUGAGGGUGGGGUGAGAGACAGAGCAAUGCUGUGGAGGGAGGUUUAUUUGUGCUCUUUUGCAUGGACAAUUGUGUGCUCCCCAUGGGUCUAUUCCGUGGGUGAGCGGGGUCUGGUGCGUGGGCACGACCGGUGAAUAUAGAAGACGGGGGAGGCAGCGGCUCAGCUCGCUGUGUUUUCCUCUCACUCGGCUUAGAGAUACAGUGUUUUACCCGCCAAAUGCACUGGAUGCUGGGAUAUAAAUUAUCCAAGACCAAAACAGCACCAGCACUUGGUGGGGGGAUAUAUAGAGACAGGGGAGGGGGGAGGUGGGCUGGAAACCCAGAUGCUCCAGCGUUAGAGGAGGGUUGUUACCAGGAGAUAACCUGCUCCAAAGCUGCUGUUUUCCACGAGUCCACACCACACUGUCCACCUGUAUGUUCUCCUGUUCUGUCAUUCUUUUUUUCCUUUCCACGGCGCAUUUUCGCAGCGCUGAUCACAGAGCGGCCGUCUUUAAUCAGACUCUCCGGGCUGUAAAGUGAGAGAAUCUAAACGUGACGUCAAUGCCUAGUAACUGACGCAACCCUUCAACAAAAAAGGCUUUUUAUUUAUUAUUUUUCCUCUUCUCGUCAGCAAAGCUUAAUUACUAAAUUUUACAGUGCUCCGUCGACUAAGAGAAAAAAGAAAAUCCCCUAGGGAGCGCCGGGUAGUCCGUGCUCAUCAGUAUUUGGACCUAUUUAGCCUUCCUGAGUUUUCAGCUGCCGAAGUGACUCUGGGACCAGAAGCUUCUGAAGAGGGCGACAAGACAUCAAAUACUGUCGAUGAUAAUGGCAGCGUCGACGAGUUCCAGGUCUUAGUUGUUGAGGGAGAAAGUAGCAUGUUUUUAAGGCUGGAGGAGGACGUGGUGGUGCUGUUGAAGCCACAUUGGGUUUUAAAAAAAAUCACUGCAAUGAUGCAACAGAGGGGAAUCGGGGCUCUUGUGCAGAGUUGGAGAAGCAAAAUUAAUUUACAUUACAUGCACUUCACGUAACGAUCCUAAGCGAUGCCUUUUGUGAAUGUUUUUUUCCUUCCUCGUACUGUGACCUAAAAAUAGCAUCAUAGUUUUGAUCGUACGCCAGAAAUAGACAGACGGGUAUCACUUGUAUAAAAAGGAAGCGAUCCUGAGCAAACUUGGACGUGCCACUUUUAGAACAAGGACGUGUCUGCUACGCGAGGGGGAACCCUUCUCUGAUGAGCGCUAAAGGACGCCUUUCCCCCCGUUUUCUUGUUUUUAAGAGGAGUCGUUCUGACAGAAAAAGCGGCGGUGGAGGAGGACGAGGAGGAGAGGAGGGAGUGAAGUGAAGGAGCUGUUGCUGCAGCAGAGACUAGGCGCACCGCAUGGGGAAACCCGGGAGCUGUCCAGCAGCAAUGGAGAGAACAAUGACAACCAAAACAACAAGGGUUAAAAAUAAAAAUAAAGAGGUGACUUGUGCCCGAGGUGGACGCUGCUGCCGCCGCCGGAGCCUCCACCUGUGCGCCGGAGAGAAAAAGGUGACCCACGUUUUGGAUGUUUGCACCGAGGAGCGACUGAGAGACACCGACCUUCCUGCCUGCCCCUCCUCCCUCCCUCCCCUUCGUCCUCCGCUCUUCUUCAUCCCGAGAACAGGUGAUUUCAGUCCCACCGCCCUGACCUGACAGCAACCACGGUGUGUUUCUGCCACAUCACCUACGAGAGCCGAGCCGAAUCGCACGUGAUAACAAACUGUUCCUCACUUUGUCUUCGCAGUUAAUGGACAACGGAGCAAAACAAUGUUCGCAGAAGAAAGAAAAUGGAAACCACUGCAGCCAGCGAAGCAGAAGAAGGUAGAGGGGAACAAUGAAGGCUGUUGGGCCCAGAAGGGAGGGAGGAGGCAGCUGGAUGGGCAGCGAGCGAUCUCAAAGCAGCCGACGCUUUUGUUUCCAUUUGCACCGCCCAAAACCGUGAAAGUCAAGCCGGUUUGAGUGGGACAUAUCCGUCCUCCACCCGCCUGCACUCAGAAGAGAGUCAUCGAACUCCAGGCUGGGAGGAUAAAUGUAUAAACACUUGUGACGGCAGCAACCAUGGAAGGCAGCUUUCCACAGGCAGCAUGAUCUCCUCAGCUGGAAGUAAAACACACAUAACAGAUCGCAGCUACUGUGAGGCUGCUGUUGCCGUCGGAUGAAGCAGAACUGUAGCUGUUGGGCUGCGAGGAAGCGACCGAGACGUGAAGGUGGACUCUCAAAACGUCCGGUGUGUGUGUGUGUGUGUGUGUGUGUGUGUGUGUGUGUGUGUGUGUGUGUGUGUGUGUGUGUGUGUGUGUGUGUGUGUGUGUGUGUGUGUAAUUUGAUUAUAUUAAAUUAUAUCUCUUAAAAAAUAUAAAAUGUAAAGCUACUUGUGUCUCUCCUAACACUCAUGUAAUGCUGCUGGCUGUUCUGCAUGUCCUACUCUUGUUUUCAUGUGAACACUGCUUGUAAAUUUCUGUUUUCAAAAUCUGGGUCCAUGUCAGAGUCUGUAAAUAUUUACUGAGCUGGCUGAUGUUGGCUGUGCAGUGAUGCCAGGCUACAAAUAAGUGCUAUAAAGUAGAUUUUUGUGAAUAUUAUAUUAUGCUUGUAAAAUGCAUUUUACCCUACAACUUUGUAACGUGACUCGGAGACAACUGGACGCUAAUACGUUUAAUUUCAUCCCUUUUAAAAGUGUUACACAACUUGCUGCUCCUUCUCCUCGGUGUCACGUUGACUUCGGCACCUCCACUUGUGUCAAAUAAUGCGAGCAGCUGCAUGAUGCAUGUCAACAUGUGGACACAUUUUUAUACUCUUGUCCCUCUGCUGAGUACAUGACAGGCUUCGCUUUGUGCCACAGAGCCUCGGUUUGUCAGAAUUUCAUGUUUAGUUUGGGUGUGAGAGACAGACGGGGAGCAUGGCGGCAGAUGGGGUGUACUGGAGACUAAAAAUGCUGUUGCAAAUAGCCUCUGUGGGUCGGAGAAGGGGAACAGAGCACAUACUGCUGAGGAGAGAAUCGUGACAGUCGGUUGUGGUGAAACAUCCGACAUCUGUGAGCAGCGCUUCGUCAUUCGUGUGCAUUUAAAUGUGAAGUUUAAUGAAAUAAAGCGAUGUAAAUUCA